Molecule: ribosomal RNA, 105 nt
Filed under: Neogale vison (American mink)
Lineage: Eukaryota; Metazoa; Chordata; Mammalia; Carnivora; Mustelidae
Source: RNAcentral
GAAAUACACCCUGAACGCGCCCGAUCUCGUCUGAUCUCGGAAGCUAAGCAGGGUCGGGCCUGGUUAGUACUUGGAUGGGAGAAAUAACCAUAAAACCUUGGCGUC